This 75-nucleotide transfer RNA is filed under the name Pseudomonas phage ventosus. RNAcentral's name for it is "tRNA-Cys". It matches the Rfam family "tRNA". From Rfam's summary of the family: Transfer RNA (tRNA) molecules are approximately 80 nucleotides in length. Their secondary structure includes four short double-helical elements and three loops (D, anti-codon, and T loops). The record is from RNAcentral. Lineage: Duplodnaviria; Heunggongvirae; Uroviricota; Caudoviricetes; Vandenendeviridae.
UCCUUGAUGGCUGAAUGGCUAGGCGACUGAUUGCAAACCAGUACCAUGCGAGUUCGAAUCUCGUUCAAGGCUCCA